This 123-nucleotide ribosomal RNA is filed under the name Penicillium rubens Wisconsin 54-1255. Its description in RNAcentral is "small non coding RNA". Lineage: Eukaryota; Fungi; Ascomycota; Eurotiomycetes; Eurotiales; Aspergillaceae. The record is from RNAcentral.
UACAUACAACAGUGAGGAUUCGCUGGUGGUCACCCACCCAACUACUAACUCACCGGCGUGUGGCUUAAGUACGGCUGAGCGGACGGGAAGCCCUGUUUUCCACACCCUAUGGUCGUAUGUAUU